This 495-nucleotide ribosomal RNA is filed under the name uncultured bacterium. RNAcentral describes it as "partial 16S ribosomal RNA". It matches the Rfam family "Bacterial small subunit ribosomal RNA", at positions 28 to 507 of the family's 1533-position model. The record is from RNAcentral.
GACGAACGCUGGCGGCGUGCCUAAUACAUGCAAGUAGAACGCUGAAGGAGGAGCUUGCUUUUCUGGAUGAGUUGCGAACGGGUGAGUAACGCGUAGGUAACCUGCCUGGUAGCGGGGGAUAACUAUUGGAAACGAUAGCUAAUACCGCAUAAGAGUAGAUGUUGCAUGACAUUUACUUAAAAGGUGCAAUUGCAUCACUACCAGAUGGACCUGCGUUGUAUUAGCUAGUUGGUGAGGUAACGGCUCACCAAGGCAACGAUACAUAGCCGACCUGAGAGGGGGAUCGGCCACACUGGGACUGAGACACGGCCCAGACUCCUACGGGAGGCAGCAGUAGGGAAUCUUCGGCAAUGGACGGAAGUCUGACCGAGCAACGCCGCGUGAGUGAAGAAGGUUUUCGGAUCGUAAAGCUCUGUUGUAAGAGAAGAACGAGUGUGAGAGUGGAAAGUUCACACUGUGACGGUAUCUUACCAGAAAGGGACGGCUAACUACGUG